This 814-nucleotide long non-coding RNA is filed under the name Physcomitrium patens. RNAcentral describes it as "long non-coding RNA (PPAT_LNC005577)". The record is from RNAcentral. Lineage: Eukaryota; Viridiplantae; Streptophyta; Bryopsida; Funariales; Funariaceae.
GGCAUAACUCAAAAUUUGGAACGGCACAGAUUUGCGGCAACAAAGAGUAAGAAUUCGACAACUUCAGCUAAUGCGUGGAAAAGAAUCAUUGUCACCUACAAUAUGUACAAGUCUCUGUUGCUGAAUCUCACUAUCCAAGGGAAAUUCAAGCGCAAUGGCGCUCUUGUUUAUCUUCAUUGGAUAAACAACUAAAUUAGAAAAGAAUGCUACUUCGGAGCCAAUUGAUGGUGAAAAAAUGUGAAGUCAUCUCGUCGGCCAGUGAGAAAACUGGCUACUCUCGGUCCGAACUCCAUCAACUAGGAGUAUGUCAUUGGUCCCCGGUAAGUCGUCCUGAUUCUUGCAGUUAAAGUGAACAUCAGAUUCAUUCAAUUGACACGAUUGAUGGGGUUGGCCUUCAGCAGCGGAGAAGUUCGAGUUGAAGGUGAUCGCAACGACAUAGUCUGAUUUCCUUUCGAGACAAAUCCCGAUUCAAUUGUCCUCCCAAGCCAUCUGCCGCUUCGACGGAGGUCGCCACUUCGACGAGCCUCCGUCGCCCAUUGGUGUCUUGCUUGGAGGUCUCCAUUUGGAGGAUCCACCAUCGCCCAUCUGGCACUUGGAUGGAGGCCUCCACUUCGAUGAUCCACCAUCACCUCUUAUUGCCAUUCUAUGUGCUUUGUGAAGCUUGAUUAUAACUCUUGAAUUUCCCAACUUCGACAAAGGCUCUAAAAACUUGCGGUAAGCAGUUAACUGAUCACUGCACAAUCUGUUGAUUACUUGGAGCAAGCGGUGUUCAAGUUGUAUAGCUUGAUUGCUUUGUGCUCAAGUAAGCUCAAAC